Molecule: ribosomal RNA, 433 nt
Filed under: uncultured bacterium
Lineage: Bacteria
Description: partial 16S ribosomal RNA
Rfam family: Bacterial small subunit ribosomal RNA
Source: RNAcentral
AGCGAACGCUGGCGGCAGGCCUAACACAUGCAAGUCGAACGGAUCCUUCGGGAUUAGUGGCGGACGGGUGAGUAACACGUGGGAACGUGCCCUUUGGUUCGGAACAACUCAGGGAAACUUGAGCUAAUACCGGAUGUGCCCUUCGGGGGAAAGAUUUAUCGCCAUUGGAGCGGCCCGCGUCUGAUUAGCUAGUUGGUGAGGUAAAGGCCCACCAAGGCGACGAUCAGUAGCUGGUCUGAGAGGAUGAUCAGCCACACUGGGACUGAGACACGGCCCAGACUCCUACGGGAGGCAGCAGUGGGGAAUCUUGCGCAAUGGGCGAAAGCCUGACGCAGCCAUGCCGCGUGAAUGAUGAAGGUCUUAGGAUUGUAAAAUUCUUUCAGCGGGGACGAUAAUGACGGUACCCGCAGAAGAAGCUCCGGCUAACUUCGUG